This 469-nucleotide long non-coding RNA is filed under the name Nicotiana benthamiana. RNAcentral's name for it is "long non-coding RNA (NBEN_LNC039592)". Lineage: Eukaryota; Viridiplantae; Streptophyta; Magnoliopsida; Solanales; Solanaceae. The record is from RNAcentral.
UAUAUACUACUUUAUCUAUGAUUUUAUUGGCUAAUUAUAACAUAAACAGAAAGAAAUAUAAGAAAGAGAUAGCAGGUCGUAAUACCAGUCCCUCAAUCUGAACAACCCUGAGUGGCGGCGCAGCAGACUCCUCUGUAGCUGCUACUUGCAAAAACGACCGCCCUGUUGCUGCAUUAAAUCAAAUUGUAAGGGGUUAAUUGCUAAACUACACAUAUUGCACACAAAAAAUGUACUCGUUUAGAAGUGGAAGCAAAAUUAUACGUACGAUUUGCCAUUGACGAAAUCGGUGAGAGAAAUUAGGUAGAGAAUUUGACUGAAUGCAAAAUCUUACUCUGCGGAAAAAAGUUAGAAAACCAAAGCCCUAAUUGUUGGUGGAGGGGUUUGUUCUUUAUUUAUUGAGAUGAGAUGAGACGGGAGAGGAAUUGUCACUAAUGCCCCGGCCCAUUACUGUCUACACAAGGAUUAGGCC